Molecule: ribosomal RNA, 520 nt
Filed under: uncultured Glomus
Lineage: Eukaryota; Fungi; Glomeromycota; Glomeromycetes; Glomerales; Glomeraceae
Description: SSU rRNA
Rfam family: Eukaryotic small subunit ribosomal RNA
Source: RNAcentral
AGCAGCCGCGGUAAUUCCAGCUCCAAUAGCGUAUAUUAAAGUUGUUGCAGUUAAAAAGCUCGUAGUUGAAUUUCGGGGUUAGUAGGUUGGUCAUGCCUCUGGUAUGUACUGGUCUCACUGAUUCCUCCUUCCUGAUGAGCCGUAAUGCCAUUAAUUUGGUGUUGCGGGGAAUUUGGACUGCUACUUUGAAAAAAUUAGAGUGUUUAAAGCAAGCUAACGCUUGAAUACAUUAGCAUGGAAUAAUGAAAUAGGACGUUCGAUCCUAUUUUGUUGGUUUCUAGGAUUGACGUAAUGAUUAAUAGGGAUAGUUGGGGGCAUUAGUAUUCAAUUGUCAGAGGUGAAAUUCUUGGAUUUAUUGAAGACUAACUACUGCGAAAGCAUUUGCCAAGGAUGUUUUCAUUAAUCAAGAACGAAAGUUAGGGGAUCGAAGACGAUCAGAUACCGUCGUAGUCUUAACCAUAAACUAUGCCGACUAGGGAUCGGAUGAUGUUAAUUUUUUAAUGACUCAUUCGGCGCCUUA